This is a non-coding RNA of Trichonephila inaurata madagascariensis, 73 nucleotides long. The record is from the annotation of a GenBank genome assembly. NCBI's taxonomy places the organism in Eukaryota, Metazoa, Arthropoda, Arachnida, Araneae, Nephilidae.
GUCCCUGUAGCGCAAUGGAGAGCGCGUUGUACUUCUAAUCCAAAGCUCGUGGGUUCGAAUCCCACUUGGGGUG